UGAGGACUUGCAGGGGAAUUGCCUCCCCAGGAGAGAUUGAGGCUUGGGUAGCCUAGGGUGUUUUUCCUCUCGUGGUGAAUUGGGCUCAGUGUUCCCUACUAGGCUGCUUUUCCUUCAUGUUUUCUGCCCUCUCUGUGAAAUAGUUUUAGAGACUCGAUGAGCUAGUUACAUUGGUGAUGCCUUCUUCAGAAAAACCCUGGUGGCACUAUUUCACUGCGAAGCAUUUUGGAAGUGACUUGAGUUCAGAAGACAGCAGGUACCAGCAUUCAAGAAUUCAACUACAGACCUCAUAUAAUUUAAUUGUUAACACAAGAAGAUAUCAAAAGUUAGAGAAACUAAAGCAUUUCUCAAGAACAGUGUGAUGCAGGUCAAAAAAAUGAACGUUAAGUCAGAACAGAUUGCUAAAGAAGUUAACUUCUUAAGACUAAAGAAUACAAGCUUCCUAAGUUUUAUGAAUUAGAACAUCUGCUUUUGAAGAAUGUAAAAUAAAUCAUUAUAAAAUGCUUAUUUUGUUCAAAAUUGAAGAAAUUAUGAUUGUCUCAACAAUGCUGACGCUAAAGGACACUAUUGUGCGUUCCCCCACCACCCUCUUGGGUAUUAAGCAAAUGUCAAAGUUGGAGGUAACCAAGCAAAGACUAAAUCAUCUUCAGUCUGCCUUAGGACAGUGCCUAUUCAACUGAUUCCACCAAGUUCAUCAGUAGCCUCAAUAUUCUUCAAUCCAGAAUAAGAAUACAUUGGAAGCUAUAUCGCUACUGCCAGAGAGAAUAGGAGGAUAAGACAUUUAUUUUCACUGAUUCUCUGACUACAAUGAAUGUUUCAGUUUUCAGAAAUGCCAAGAUUUAGACUUCUAAAGACAGUAUCUUUCCUUUCUUUCCCCCCUUGACCUUAGAGGAUUCUAAAAUAAACCACAGUCCUAAGAAUAAUGCAGAAGUAUGGCUAGUCUACACAGUGGAUUUAAGUAGUUAAAUGCCUCAAGACACCGCAAGCUUUUUUUUUUUUUUGCUCACAAGGCACUGCUCGUUAAUAUUUUUUUUAUUUGUUUUGAUACUUAUAAGAUUUAUUUUUUUCUAGAAAGUUAAAAUCACAAGCAAGAAAUUUCUGGUAACUUCAAAUAGAGACUCAAGUUCUUCUAGGUAGAAAAAAAAAUUAAUUUUGUAUUAGGCACCAAACAAAAUGAGCCUCUUAGUAGUUGUUUUUUUUUUUACUUCAUUAAACUAACAUGCCAAAGAGCAGAUGAACUUAUACACAAGAAAUAACAAGCAAAACGUGCUAUAUGAAGGACAAAGAUAUUACCAAGUUUAUGUAUACUUUAGGAUGUCCCAAAGCUCCACCACCACCAUCGCAUGAUAUCACUCUGCUUUCAACUUCACUCACAGGCUGCUCUGCAAUCAAAUCAAUUGCAAAAUUCUUGUUCACCUGAAAGAAAAAAAAAAAAAAGAAAGCUUUCAGUUAUCUUGCACACUCAAACAGAAAACAAUUGCUUCCCCAAAUAGUUACACUACAACCAACUUAAGAAGUUCCUACACAGUUUUUUUUCUGACCUUCUCCACAGCUGUAACAACUUCAGCUGCACUGUAUUUGUUCACCAGACCAAUGAACUGAAGGUGUUAAACCCCACAAAAAUAAUGCCCAUACCCUGACCCAGACCACAUCAAUGCUCAGGUUACAUGACCUAAGCAGAUUCAGCAAAGAGGUGAGCAGGAACAAGCAGCUGAGAACAGAAAAUUUUUAACUGACACUGCCUCUGUAUUGCUUUUGCCACUACAUGAUAAAAUUGCAAAAAACUGUGCUGAUAAACUCAAAAUAAUGGUGGGACAAGUAAGGUCAUGAGAGAGAUAAAACAACUGCCAGUAAUUUAGAGCCUCCCACCAUGCAUGUUACUCCAUCACUGCACAUAAAUCUCAGGAAGACAUUAACUUGGUACACAACAGUUAUAAAGGCAAAUUGUUCAGAAUUAAAAAGAAGAAAAGCCUCUAAGCACUGUUAUGCCACUCUGUAAAUCCAUCUUAUGCACAAUUCCUGAAUAUGUGUAUCACUACUGACUGUCAGACUUUUUACUCGAGCAUGUCUGUGAGACCUGCCGAACACACCCCU
Anas platyrhynchos (mallard) is the source of this 2094-nucleotide long non-coding RNA. RefSeq lists it as uncharacterized. The record is from RefSeq and is a predicted model, not a curated record. Lineage: Eukaryota; Metazoa; Chordata; Aves; Anseriformes; Anatidae.